This 168-nucleotide unclassified non-coding RNA is filed under the name uncultured fungus. RNAcentral's name for it is "sequence contains ITS1". The record is from RNAcentral. Lineage: Eukaryota; Fungi.
CAGAGUUUUUGCCCGCAAGGGUAGAUCUCCCACCCUAUGUUAUUCCUUCUCUGUUGCUUUGGCGGGCCGUCCGGCCUCGGUCAGGCCACCGGCUCCGGCUGGUGAGCGCCCGCCAGAGGACCCCAAACCCUAAAUGUCAGUGUCGUCUGAGUACUAUAUAAUAGUUAA